Molecule: transfer RNA, 73 nt
Filed under: Diaphorina citri (Asian citrus psyllid)
Lineage: Eukaryota; Metazoa; Arthropoda; Insecta; Hemiptera; Psyllidae
Rfam family: tRNA
About the family: Transfer RNA (tRNA) molecules are approximately 80 nucleotides in length.
Source: Rfam by way of RNAcentral
GCCUAGUUGGCUGAAAGGUUAGUACGUCUGACUUUCAAUCACUAGGUCGCGGGUUCGAUUCCCGCCCGGGGCG